RNAcentral lists this non-coding RNA (26 nucleotides) under Cricetulus griseus (Chinese hamster). The record is from RNAcentral. Lineage: Eukaryota; Metazoa; Chordata; Mammalia; Rodentia; Cricetidae.
GAGUUAUUUGCGGAUGGUGAGCUGAG